GCUGGGAUAGCUCAGUUGGUAGCGCAUGAGACUCUUAAUCUCAGGGGUGGUGGAUUUGAUCCCCACAUUAGGUG
Non-coding RNA from Podarcis lilfordi (Lilford's wall lizard), 74 nucleotides. The record is from the annotation of a GenBank genome assembly. NCBI's taxonomy places the organism in Eukaryota, Metazoa, Chordata, Lepidosauria, Squamata, Lacertidae.